Molecule: long non-coding RNA, 1433 nt
Organism: Carassius auratus (goldfish)
Lineage: Eukaryota; Metazoa; Chordata; Actinopteri; Cypriniformes; Cyprinidae
Exons: 4
Source: RefSeq, a predicted model, not a curated record
UACUGGCAACGCAUGUUCUAGAUAAACUGAACACUUCCUGUCUCUUUUCGGUUGAGACGUGCAGCACAGCCACAUUGAAACUUUGAUGAAGGAUCAGAAAGAUACAGACAAUACAUCCUGAAAGACAAGACCAGAACUACAAUCUUUGGACUGCUGAACAAAAGAUCAGGCUCACAGGAGUAUUCUUGUGUUACAGGAAUUGGCACCAUAUACAGAUCCUGUGAACCGGAAUACAGACUUUAAGAGAUAGAAGUAGCCAAAAGUCAAGUCACCAUUAUUUAUACAACACUUUCUACAUUACUGAUUGUUUCAAAACAGCUUUAUUGUGUUAAAACAGAACAUUGUUUGUCAAUAAUGCGAGGGGUCGACAGUACACCGGAAACGGCAUCAAAACUUCCCUCAAAAACAACUAAAGAAAUACAUAAUUUACUCUCUGAAUAUAAAGUUUUCAGCUCUUUUCCAUUGAGCCUUCUGUUACUUGGAUUGGAGGAGUUGAUUGAAAAGGAAUUAUUUAUAUGCCCGUGUCGAUCUGAUCUGAAUAAACUGGUAACAUCAUUCAUUUUAAUUGGACCUGCACUUUUUACGUUUGCUUUAAUGUAUCUCCUUUUAAGACCUUUUAGACGUAGGUGUUGCUGUGGGAGUAAGUGUAUCGAGAAGAAUGAGAACACAAAUGAAAAUAACUGUUUUAAUGCUUUUUUAUCUUGUCUGAUUCCACCUGUAAUGUGGAUCGUCUUAUUUUUACUUGAUGGUGAUUAUGUUGCUUGUGGAAUGACAGACUGGAAUGGAGUUUAUAAGUUUGAUAAUCAUCUCAAAAGGUCUUGGUGUAAACCUACUGAAGAGACACGAAAUGAAACAAUUCUACAAGAUAUGACGCGCACAUAUAUUCAUUGGUCUCAGUUAUCAGGUUAUGUCCUGAUCUCUAUCUUCAGCACACUGGUGAUUGUCUUCGUGGGUUUUUGUGACUGCUGCUGGAAACCUGAAAACUGACUGAACACACAUUAAGUGAUCUGCAUCACUUAAUGAUUAAUUCUUAAUGUCCCCAUCCACUCCAACUGUAAAUAAAUAAAUAAAAUAAAAUAUUAAAAUGUUAAACAUAAUUUUUCAUAAAAGGUUUAUGCACAUACAUAUGCAUUAUUUUAAGUGUUUUAAGAUUAAAACAGAUUUUUUUUUCUUUUUCUCAUGAAAUGCAUGCAAGUGUCUCUGUCUUAGAUUUAGUAGAAAGAAAAUGUUUAAAUUCACAUAAUAUUUGUAUAUUUGCAUUAGCAUUAGUAUUUUUUUUUCCUUCUUUGCAGAAUGUGAAACUACCUUAUUAUUUUACACAACUCGGACAAUGUCGGAGGAAAUUUAUUGCAGGAAAGUUAAUAUGUGAAUAUUUUGCAUUUGCACAUUUGUAAAAGUAUCUACUAAGAAAAAUAAAUUACAUUUUUAAUGUA